GACGAACGCUGGCGGCGUGCUUAACACAUGCAAGUCGAACGAAAAGAGGGAAAGAGCUUGCUCUUUCCGGAAUUGAGUGGCAAACGGGUGAGUAACACGUAAACAACCUGCCUUCAGGAUGGGGACAACAGACGGAAACGACUGCUAAUACCGAAUAAGUUCCAAGAGCCGCAUGGCCCAUGGAAGAAAAGGUGGCCUCUACCUGUAAGCUAUCGCCUGAAGAGGGGUUUACGUCUGAUUAGCUGGUUGGAGGGGUAACGGCCCACCAAGGCGACGAUCAGUAGCCGGUCUGAGAGGAUGAACGGCCACACUGGAACUGAGACACGGUCCAGACUCCUACGGGAGGCAGCAGUGGGGAAUCUUCCGCAAUGGGCGAAAGCCUGACGGAGCAACGCCGCGUGAGGGAUGACGGCCUUCGGGUUGUAAAACUCUGUGAUCCGGGACGAAAAGGCAGAGUGCGAAGAACAAACUGCAUUGACGGUACCGGAAAAGCAAGCCACGGCUAACUACGUG
Molecule: ribosomal RNA, 513 nt
Filed under: uncultured bacterium
Lineage: Bacteria
Description: partial 16S ribosomal RNA
Rfam family: Bacterial small subunit ribosomal RNA
Source: RNAcentral